CAGCCAGGAUUAGAAAUGAGCUUCGUUCCAUUGUUAUCAAACGAUUGCCAUUCUGAAAUGCUGUAAAUAGCAUGAUUCAAAUCAUCUUGUGCUGCAGCAGUUUCUUUGUAAUAUGCUUCAUAUAUUUCACGAUUCUUAAUUCUAAAUGCGCCAGAUAAAUCGAUAACAUGAAUACCUUUUUCUACUAAGGGA
Staphylococcus aureus subsp. aureus NCTC 8325 is the source of this 192-nucleotide small RNA. It matches the Rfam family "Staphylococcus sRNA sau-53". The record is from Rfam. NCBI's taxonomy places the organism in Bacteria, Bacillati, Bacillota, Bacilli, Caryophanales, Staphylococcaceae.